Molecule: ribosomal RNA, 383 nt
Filed under: uncultured Desulfobulbus sp.
Lineage: Bacteria; Pseudomonadati; Thermodesulfobacteriota; Desulfobulbia; Desulfobulbales; Desulfobulbaceae
Description: bacterial SSU rRNA
Rfam family: Bacterial small subunit ribosomal RNA
Source: RNAcentral
CGUAGGGGUGGCUUCCAUCUGGAAGAAUCUGGAGACAGGUGCUGCAUGGCUGUCGUCAGCUCGUGUCGUGAGAUGUUGGGUUAAGUCCCGCAACGAGCGCAACCCUUGCCUUUAGUUGCCAGCAGUUCGGCUGGGCACUCUAAAGGGAACUGCCGGUGUUAAACCGGAGGAAGGUGGGGAUGACGUCAAGUCCUCAUGGCCCUUAUGACCAGGGCUACACACGUACUACAAUGGCCGAUACAAAGGGCAGCGACACUGCGAGGUGAAGCCAAUCCCGUAAAAUCGGUCUCAGUCCGGAUUGGAGUCUGCAACUCGACUCCGUGAAGUUGGAAUCGCUAGUAAUCGUGGAUCAGCAUGCCACGGUGAAUACGUUCCCGGGCCUU